GAGAGAGAGAGAGAGAGAGAGAGAGAGAGAGAGAGAAGCAGUAUGACACCUGUGCCUCUUCCCUCUGGCUAACUUCAUCUAUUGCCUACUUCCCUUAGCAUAUAUUUAAACUCAUGUUCUAAAGCAGCACUAUGCAUUCUCCUGGUUUAUCCUUCAUCGCUAAUAUUUAAUAUAUUCAGAAUGAUUUCUCCAUUCCUAUCACUUAUGAGUCCUGUAUGAAAAUUUUAAUUUAAACACAGGUUUAUUGACCCUUACUGUUAUUCAAGGUCAGUUCAAGUGCUAUUUUUAUUUCUAGAAGAAUUAAUUAAUGCAUUCUAUUAGUUUGGACUUAUGUGGAGACUGAGGAAUCUUGGACAUGUGUGCCCCAAUCCGCAGUUUUGACUGAGAGUGUUGUGGCCAGACAACAUUUGGGAACCUUCUCUGUCUUCUCCCCUUGAAGGGUGACCCUGGUUAAACAGCUCUUUAAACAGACGUCUUUUUGUCAGAACCGCAGGUCAUAUAGUCCCCUCCAAACAAUUAUUACUUAUGAACUAGAUAAAAGCCCCGUGUUGUCUGAUACAUAAACUUAGAAAUGGGCAGAUGGGGUCAGGGACAGAGUUGGUCUAGAUUUCGCCCUGGUUUAUUUAAAACAUCAGAGACAGGGAGAGAGCAACUGGACACCUGUUUUAGAAACAUUUUGGUGGAGAGACAAAGGUAGGACAGCGAUUUGGACUGAGUCUCUUCGUCACAGCUGACACAGAAAUUCGCUGUACAGGUGCCUGAGGGGUCUGGAAUGGAAAAAGAGGUCUAACCAUGACCAGAAAGAGUUUCCUAACAGAGACAGAGCCUAAGAAAGAACCUGGCUGAAUUAAUGAGAAUGAAAACAGUGGGAGACAAUCAGUGCUAGCCAACCAGGACUGAGAAAUCAGCAGUGAUUAAGAAGAGACCAGCAUCACUGAUGUGAAAUCUUCUGGGAGUACUUCCUCAGGGUCAGCACACAGAAGCUGUGGUCCAGAGUGGGCCAAGAGUACAUCUCAUGCUGGCAGUAGAACUUGGUAAUAUGUAAGAGUCUCCCAGGUGGUGCUAGUUUUAAAGGCAGGAAGGAAUCAGAAAAAUAGUUGAGGCUUGGCACUGUGUGGUAGGGCUGAAGUUCCCAAAGAAAGGCCAGAAGAGACCCCCUAGUGAAGGCGUGGCCUGAUUGCUAUGGAGAGCCAAGCAUUUUGGAGAUGCCAAUACCAUGAGAGGACCACCAAGGACAGAAGCAGCUGUAGAGCCGACCCAGCCUGAGCCUGUGAGUCCAGCUGUGUACGUCAGAUGGCAAAGCUGGAGAAACAGAGCUGUUCCAAGGCUCUCUGGCACCCAGAAGACUGAGUUUGCGGAGAAUCCUGAAGCUCAGAAGGGGUCGAAGCAUGCCGAAAACCCCGGAUUUUCUCAUCCUGAGAAUGACAGGAAUUUGGCUGCUCUUUUGCCUUGCUCAGGUACCAACAGACCCCAGCAGACUGACUUUCCCAGGGUGCACAUGUGCCUGGUGCAUGUAGCUACUGAUGAGCUCAGGUAUCUCCAAGGCUAUGGUGACUGGUUGCUGUUUAUCUGACCAAUGAAACAUUCCAGGCUGGACUUCCUUUCUUUUCUAUAUGAUCUUAUAAGGUUCCUUCCCCUGGUCCCUGCUGCUUCCAAGUGUGCAAAUGAAGCACCCUCCAUGCUGUUGCCCCAACCUUAUGACAUACCACCACAUGGAUCCAACAGGCCAUUCUUCCUGGGGUAUAACUGUCUCCUGCUCCCUCUUAAUAAAUGAGGUGUCCUCUGA
Molecule: long non-coding RNA, 1786 nt
Organism: Peromyscus leucopus (white-footed mouse)
Lineage: Eukaryota; Metazoa; Chordata; Mammalia; Rodentia; Cricetidae
Exons: 4
Source: RefSeq, a predicted model, not a curated record